GGGUUGUGAGGUUAAGCGACUAAGCGUACACGGUGGAUGCCCUGGCAGUCAGAGGCGAUGAAGGACGUGCUAAUCUGCGAUAAGCGUCGGUAAGGUGAUAUGAACCGUUGUAAC
RNAcentral lists this ribosomal RNA (114 nucleotides) under Shigella sonnei. RNAcentral describes it as "partial 23S ribosomal RNA". It matches the Rfam family "Bacterial large subunit ribosomal RNA", at positions 1 to 104 of the family's 2925-position model. Lineage: Bacteria; Pseudomonadati; Pseudomonadota; Gammaproteobacteria; Enterobacterales; Enterobacteriaceae. The record is from RNAcentral.